GACGAACGCUGGCGGCGUGCUUAACACAUGCAAGUCGAACGGAAAGGCCCUGCUUUUGUGGGGUGCUCGAGUGGCGAACGGGUGAGUAACACGUGAGUAACCUGCCCUUGACUUUGGGAUAACUUCAGGAAACUGGGGCUAAUACCGGAUAGGAGAUACUGCUGCAUGGUGGGGGUUGGAAAGUUUCGGCGGUUGGGGAUGGACUCGCGGGUUAUCAGCUUGUUUGUGGGGUAGUGGCUUACCAAGGCUUUGACGGGUAGCCGGCCUGAGAGGGUGAACGGCCACCUUAGGCCUGAGAUACGGCCCAGACUCCUACGGGAGGCAGAAGUGGGGAAUAUUGCACAAUGGGCGGAAGCCUGAUGCAGCAACGCUGCGUGCGGGAUGACGGCCUUCGGGUUGUAAACCGCUUUCUACUGUGACGAAGCGUGAGUGACGGUAAUGGGUAAAGAAGCACCGGCUAACUACGUG
Molecule: ribosomal RNA, 468 nt
Filed under: uncultured bacterium
Lineage: Bacteria
Description: partial 16S ribosomal RNA
Rfam family: Bacterial small subunit ribosomal RNA
Source: RNAcentral